RNAcentral lists this transfer RNA (72 nucleotides) under Ovis aries (sheep). It matches the Rfam family "tRNA". Rfam says of the family: Transfer RNA (tRNA) molecules are approximately 80 nucleotides in length. Their secondary structure includes four short double-helical elements and three loops (D, anti-codon, and T loops). Lineage: Eukaryota; Metazoa; Chordata; Mammalia; Artiodactyla; Bovidae. The record is from Rfam by way of RNAcentral.
UCCUGGGUGGCUCAGACGGUAAAGCGUCUGUCUAUAAUGCAGGAGACCCAGGUCCCAUCCCUGGGUCAGGAA